Molecule: long non-coding RNA, 2686 nt
Organism: Phyllostomus discolor (pale spear-nosed bat)
Lineage: Eukaryota; Metazoa; Chordata; Mammalia; Chiroptera; Phyllostomidae
Exons: 2
Source: RefSeq, a predicted model, not a curated record
AGAGGGAGACUGCCCGAGGAAGGGGAGGAGAGAAGAGGAGAGCAGUGCAAAUCUGAAGCUAGGUCACAUCUAGACAGGACACAGUAAGAGGUAAAGCCAGAACAAAUGCCAGAAGUAAAAGAGUGAAAGGCAAAUGAGCAGACAGGGCACAAAUAAGGAGAAAGGAUGGAUUCUCAGGAGAGGGGAUGCACAUGAAGGGAAGACAGAUGAUUUCUCUGUGUGACCAGAAGGAUAGUGAUUACAAAGAUGAGAAUGGCAGGAAAGGGAAGAAAAGGGAAUAAGUAAGGAGACAAAAUAAGUCACAUAAGUACACAAGUACUAGUUAAAUGCUUAGAAAAUGAUCAGGUAGUUAGGCUAAGCUGGAAAGAGAACCACAACUCUACCAAAAAGGGGACCAUCAGAAAGGCAGAGGCAGGCAGUUUAAGGGACUAGCUACUGAGGUGAAAUUGCAAAAAAAUAAAAAUAAAAAAGGAAGAAGAAGAUGGAAAAGGUGAGAAGCAGGAGAGGGAAAACCCAAAGGAGACACUGGCCCAGAAACCUUUUUAACUUUCUGUAAAAAUCUUCAAGGCCCCAAACUAGGCCAAGAUUCUGACUGACAUUUCUGAGCUCACCAGCUGCUGUUUCCUUGAGAGUAUUCUGACAGGAAGGCAUAGAAAUGCAAGCCAACACUGCCGGCUCUGGACAAAAUAAUAAUACUAACACUCCAUGCUGUAACCACCACCAUGGGGCUGACCCCUCCCACGGAAGAAGGCACACAGAGGAGGAGGGACCUGCCUGCAACGUUUCCCCAGGCUUGGACCAACGGUGCUUGGGACAUACCAAGGAACCUUCACACUAGAGGCUGCCUGCAGUCGCCUCCCAGUGGAGCUGCCACCUGCUCUGGCUGGUCAAACGGAACCAAGUCCGUCUUCCUGAGAGGUUUGGUCCCCUUCAACCAGCUACAGCAGGGCUGGCAAUGCCCAGUCCUUGGAGGAACAGAAGAGAUCCACCUGUGGCUGAAAUUACAUGCUAGAGUUUUCCUUAAGAAAAUGACUCUGAUUUUAUCAUAUACUCUCAUGCUCCCAGGAAGGGAGAGAGGAGGAGCCCUGGGUUCACAAGUGAGCAAGAUAUUCCUACUCAGCACACAGAGCUUUGUGGCUUUUCGCCCACAACCACAGCCACUCACAUGCUCCUGAUGUACACAGUCAGUAAAGAUUUUGAGGAUGGAAUUUUUGCCAGCUCUGGGCCAGUCAGGGUAAGGGCAUGAGACCUCAAAGACAGGACUUCUGCUCGCAAGGGGCUAACAGUCUAAGUAAAGAAAUUGGAUUUAUGAAUAUGGCACAAUUCAAAGGAGUUUCCAGUUACAGCACAGCUAGUUCCAAGACACAAUACUUCUUACACAGCAUACCGAACAUGCCUGACACACUGUGUACCAGCAAGGCUUUAUGUAUCCUUCAGCCCAAGAUAUCUAUUUACUAAGCAACAUACAUGUGACUCAGUUUCCUGAUCUAUAGAAUGGUGAUAAUAAUCAUUGAGCCUACCACAUAUGAUUUUGUGUGGAACAAAAUGAGAAUACAUGUAAAGAAGUUAACAAGCCUUCAAUAAUUGUUACCUGUUAUUAAGGGGGAAUCCUGACCUGUCCUUCUACUUUCUCUUUCAAAAUGUGUAUCUCUGCCAGUGUAUCUAGGAGUAUGCCCAAAACUUAGCUAAUGCUCACUGACAUUUGUUGUUUGAAUUCCAGAAGCACAUGGGUUCACAUGCUGGCAUCUGACAUAAGUGUGGUCUCGUGAUGCCUAGAGCUCCCCAGUCUCCACACAGAGGGUGUAGUGCUUAUCUGCACAUGCCUGGGAAUCAGGGAGACCUGGGUUUGAAUCCUGCUCUUCUCAUUUAUUAGCUAUGAAAUAUUCUCUCUGAGCCUCAGUUAACAGUGAAUAAGCCUCAGUUUCCUCAUCAGUAAAGUAAGAACAAUGAUACUUAAAGUUGACUUAAGGAUUUAAGAUCAUGUAUAGAAAGAGCUAAAUAAAAUCCCUCAGGAAAUAGUAGCUGUUGUUGUUUUGUUAUUUUACAUAGCAAUAGCUCAAGGACCAGGUUGUGUCCAUGGGCCCCAGAAAAGUAGAAGGCCAGAAUAAAAAAAAAGAACAAAAAAAACACACUAAAAUCUCAUUACAGGGUAUUUUUAUACUCCAACUAUUAAUUCUACUAUCAUGCAGCACGCAUUCACUCUUGCUUGUGUUACUAGUUUGUAAUAAAUUUUACUUAAAAAAUAUUUCAUCUAUGAGACUGCUAGUAUCAUCUUGAAGAAAUAUCCUACCAAGAAAGCCUUCAUUUGUGAGCUAGUCUGUAACCACAUGUUCUGCUGAGUAUGUGAAAGCCUGAGCACGUACUCCAAAGGUGUAGAGCUCAGACACAGACAAUGUUGGAGUCAGGCUGCCUGGGAUCAAAUCCCAGCCAGACAGACACCCACCAGCUGUGUCAUUUGGACAAGUUGCUUGAUGUCUUUGGGCCCAAGUUUUCAUCAUCUGCAGCAUGAGAAUAGUAAUAACAGUGUCUACCUCAUAGGAUGUUCAUAAGAACAAAAUGAAAAUACAUGUAAAGGUGUAAAACCAGCACUGGGUACAUAAUAAGCUUUGAAGACUUUUUAUCUUUGACAAUGUGCCUGAAAUGUUCAGAAAACUAAAUUGCUGUUUAAUAAAACAUUGUUUAAUAA